This 556-nucleotide long non-coding RNA is filed under the name Rattus norvegicus (Norway rat). RNAcentral describes it as "long non-coding RNA NONRATT004676". Lineage: Eukaryota; Metazoa; Chordata; Mammalia; Rodentia; Muridae. The record is from RNAcentral.
GCACUGCCCGUCAUCCGAGACAAGUACAAGGAUCUGACUGGCGAAGUGGAGGAAAAUGAGAGAUACGCGUAUGAGUGGCAGAGAUGCCUGGGGAGCGCCCUGGAUGUCAUUAAGAAGGCAAACGACACCUUAAACGGCAUUAGCAGCAGUGCUGUCUGCACAGAAGUUAUCCAGUCAGCCCAAGGCAUGGAGUAUCUCCUAGCCAGAUGAGAAUUCACUGGAUUUUUCCUCCUGUAUGUUACGGCCUGGGAUCAAAAACGCCCAGGAGCUGGCUUGUGGAGUGUGUCUCCUAAAUGUGGACUCCAGAAGCCGGGCAUUCAACUCAGAAACAGACAGUUUCAAGCUGGCCUAUGGGGGACAUCAGUACCACGCCAGCUGUGCCAACUUCUGGAUCAACUGUGUUGAACCCAAGCCUCCCGGCCUCCUCUUGCCAGAUCUGCUCUGAAAAGCUGCUCAGUGAAGCUGAUUUUGGGUUGAUUCUGUCACAGGACUUAGGGUGACAGGGAUCAAUAAAUAGAAUGCAGUACUGCAGAGCCCCUCCCACCGGUCUCUUUGC